This 529-nucleotide ribosomal RNA is filed under the name uncultured bacterium. RNAcentral describes it as "bacterial SSU rRNA". It matches the Rfam family "Bacterial small subunit ribosomal RNA", at positions 355 to 873 of the family's 1533-position model. The record is from RNAcentral.
UGGGGAAUUUUGGGCAAUGGCCGAAAGGCUGACCCAGCGACGCCGCGUGCGGGAGGACGCUCUUCGGGGUGUAAACCGCUGUCAGAGGGGAAGAAUGGCUCGGAGGGGAAUACUCUCCGGGUGUGACGGUACCCUCAAAGGAAGCACCGGCUAACUCUGUGCCAGCAGCCGCGGUAAUACAGAGGGUGCAAGCGUUGUUCGGAAUCACUGGGCGUAAAGCGCGCGCAGGCGGGACUGCAAGUCGGGAGUGAAACUCCGGGGCUCAACUCCGGACCGGCUACCGAAACUGCAGACCUGGGGACCGGUAGAGGCUGGUGGAAUUCCCGGUGUAGCGGUGGAAUGCGUAGAUAUCGGGAAGAACACCCGUGGCGAAGGCGGCCAGCUGGGCCGGGUCCGACGCUGAGGCGCGAAAGCGUGGGGAGCAAACAGGAUUAGAUACCCUGGUAGUCCACGCCGUAAACGAUGGGCACUAGGCGCCGGGGGGAGCGACCCCUUCGGUGCCGCAGCUAACGCGAUAAGUGCCCCGCCG